UUUCCGUAGGUGAACCUGCGGAAGGAUCAUUACUGAGUGAGGGCCCCUCGGGGUCCAACCUCCCACCCGUGUUUAACGAACCUUGUUGCUUCGGCGGGCCCGCCUCACGGCCGCCGGGGGGCAUAUGCCCCCGGGCCCGCGCCCGCCGAAGCCACCUGUGAACGCUGUCUGAAGUAUGCAGUCUGAGACAAUUAUUAAAUUAAUUAAAACUUUCAACAACGGAUCUCUUGGUUCCG
RNAcentral lists this unclassified non-coding RNA (236 nucleotides) under plant metagenome. RNAcentral's name for it is "partial contains small subunit ribosomal RNA, internal transcribed spacer 1, and 5.8S ribosomal RNA". The record is from RNAcentral.